Artibeus jamaicensis (Jamaican fruit-eating bat) is the source of this 898-nucleotide long non-coding RNA. RefSeq lists it as uncharacterized. The record is from RefSeq and is a predicted model, not a curated record. The transcript is spliced from 4 exons. Lineage: Eukaryota; Metazoa; Chordata; Mammalia; Chiroptera; Phyllostomidae.
CAUUCCGCUUCUGUAUCCGCUUUGCUACGUAGACGAGAAGACCCUGUAAACUAUAAAAAACCCAAGAAUCCUUUGUUCGGGGCUCAGAAUUUGGACACUGACUCCUCUGGGCCCGCGCACGUUAAAUAAACCUCGUACUCCUGAAUCCCUCGUUGUCUAGUCGCUUCAUUUUCCUGCAACAUUUGGUGCAUUGGCCAGGAAGCGACCUUUCACAAAUUCAGGCAACUUGCCUCCGGCUGGAUAAGGGAACAGUGGCCGGAGUUCCAACCAGAGAAACAGGGGUUGCACGUGCCCUGAGAUUUCUCAGGCCCCCGUCCGAUUGGAACCCACGACCGCCAGCCUGUACUCUAGACGGGAAGUGAGGGUUUUUGGACUACAACCUGACCUGAGACCAGGGGCGCCAAAUCGGAAACAGCCCUGGGCUCUGCGGCGACCCCGGGACCCCGGCCCAUGGGUCCCGGCUCGGCGACGAGUUCAGGACAAGAGCCUCCUCUGCUUCUCUUGCGAGGUGGGCUACCUGCUGCGCGGCUCCGCCUAGCGCACCUGCUUGCUCAACGGGUCCUGGUCAGGGCUGCAGCCUACGUGUGAAGCUGUGUCCUGCGGGAACCCAGGCAUACCCAUCCACGGCAGGAUUGUCAGCAGCGAUGGCAUCCUGUUCUCCAGCUCGGUCAUCUACGCCUGCUGGGAGGGCUACCGGACCACGGGGCUGACAAACUACCAGCGAACUCAAUACCACUUUCCAACAUCCGCUGAACUUUUUAAAAUAAAAAGCACAUGAGCAUUUCAGGUGGGAAGCACAGUGUUCUUCAGGUGCAGGAAAGGCUACCACGCCCAGGGCUCCACCAUGCGCACCUGCCUGGCCAACCUGACGUGGAGUGGAGCGGGACCCAGACCGAGU